CCGCGAAUUCGCCCUUCGGGGCGCACCAGGCGCGAAAACUCUACAAUGCAGGCAACUGCGAUAGGGGAACAUCGAGUGAUACUCAUAUUGGGUGUCUGUCCUUCCGUCUAAAAAACGGGAGUUAGCAAGGGCCGGGCAAGACCGGUGCCAGCCGCCGCGGUAAUACCGGCGGCUCGAGUGGUGGCCGAUAUUAUUGAGUCUAAAGGGUCCGUAGCCGGCUUGGCAAGUCUCUUGGGAAAUCCGGCGGCUUAACCGUCGGUCGUCCGGGAGAUACUACUUUGCUUGGGACUGGGAGAGGCGUGAGGUACUCAGGGGGUAGGAGUGAAAUCCUGUAAUCCUUUGGGGACCACCGGUGGCGAAGGCGUCACGCCAGAACAGGUCCGACGGUGAGGGACGAAAGCUAGGGGCACGAACCGGAUUAGAUACCCGGGUAGUCCUAGCCGUAAACGAUGCUCGCUAGGUGUCACGACAAUCGUGAAUUGUCGUGGUGCCGUAGGGAAGCCGUGAAGCGAGCCACUUGGGAAGUACGACCGCAAGGUUGAAACUUAAAGGAAUUGGCGGGGGAGCAC
Molecule: ribosomal RNA, 569 nt
Filed under: uncultured archaeon
Lineage: Archaea
Description: bacterial SSU rRNA
Rfam family: Archaeal small subunit ribosomal RNA
Source: RNAcentral